GAGUUUGAUUCUGGCUCAGGACGAACGCUGGCGGCGUGCGUAACACAUGCAAGUUGAACGACGGUGUCAUGAAGUGGUAACACGGAAUGGCAUACGGAGUAGCGGACGGGUGAGUACAACAUGAGAAGCUGUCCAAUAGUGGGGGAUAACGUUCGGAAACGGACCCUAAUACCCCAUAGGCCUUUUGGUUAAAGCAGCGAUGCGCUAUUGGAGGUGCUCGUGUCCUAUCAGCUGGUUGGUGAGGUAACGGCUCACCAAGGCGACGACGGGUAGCCGGCCUGAGAGGGUGUCCGGCCACACUGGAACUGAGAUACGGUCCAGACUCCUACGGGAGGCAGCAGUGGGGAAUAUUGGGCAAUGGGAGAAAUCCUGACCCAGCGACGCCGCGUGAACGAAGAAGGCCUUCGGGUCGUAAAGUUCUUUUAUGU
RNAcentral lists this ribosomal RNA (428 nucleotides) under Synergistales bacterium canine oral taxon 178. Its description in RNAcentral is "bacterial SSU rRNA". It matches the Rfam family "Bacterial small subunit ribosomal RNA", at positions 9 to 441 of the family's 1533-position model. The record is from RNAcentral. Lineage: Bacteria; Thermotogati; Synergistota; Synergistia; Synergistales.